This 507-nucleotide ribosomal RNA is filed under the name uncultured Desulfurobacterium sp. Its description in RNAcentral is "bacterial SSU rRNA". It matches the Rfam family "Bacterial small subunit ribosomal RNA", at positions 28 to 529 of the family's 1533-position model. The record is from RNAcentral. Lineage: Bacteria; Pseudomonadati; Aquificota; Aquificia; Desulfurobacteriales; Desulfurobacteriaceae.
GAUGAACGCUAGCAGAACGCCUAACACAUGCAAGUCGAACGAGAAGCUUACUUCGGUAAGUAGAAAGUGGCAGACGAGCGAGUAACGCGUACUUAACCUACCCUCGNAGACGAGAACAACUAUGGAGACAUAGCUAAUUCUCGAUAUGCUCACGAUGGUGAAAUUCCAAUGUGAGGAAAGAUUUAUCGCUCGGGGAGGGGGGUGCGUCCUAUCAGGUUGUUGGUGAGGUAACGGCUCACCAAGCCUACGACGGGUAGCUGGUCUGAGAGGAUGGCCAGCCACACCGGGACUGAGACACGGCCCGGACUCCUACGGGAGGCAGCAGUGGGGAAUUUUGGGCAAUGGGCGCAAGCCUGACCCAGCGACGCUGCGUGGAGGAAGAAGCCCUUCGGGGUGUAAACUCCUGUCACCGGGGACGAAGCUUAUCNGGUUAAUAGCCCUGAUGAGUGACGGUACCCGGAGAGGAAGGGACGGCUAACUACGUGCCAGCAGCCGCGGUAAUACGUA